This 598-nucleotide ribosomal RNA is filed under the name uncultured bacterium. RNAcentral's name for it is "bacterial SSU rRNA". It matches the Rfam family "Bacterial small subunit ribosomal RNA", at positions 338 to 873 of the family's 1533-position model. The record is from RNAcentral.
CCUACGGGAGGCAGCAGUGGGGAAUUUUGGACAAUGGGCGCAAGCCUGAUCCAGCCAUGCCGCGUGUGGGAAGAAGGCCUUCGGGUUGUAAACCACUUUUGUCAGGGAAGAAACGGCUUUUUCUAAUACAGAGAGCUAAUGACGGUACCUGAAGAAUAAGCACCGGCUAACUACGUGCCAGCAGCCGCGGUAAUACGUAGGGUGCAAGCGUUAAUCGGAAUUACUGGGCGUAAAGCGUGCGCAGGCGGCUUUGCAAGACAGAUGUGAAAUCCCCGGGCUCAACCUGGGAACUGCAUUUGUGACUGCAUGGCUAGAGUACGGUAGAGGGGGAUGGAAUUCCGCGUGUAGCAGUGAAAUGCGUAGAUAUGCGGAGGAACACCGAUGGCGAAGGCAAUCCCCUGGACCUGUACUGACGCUCAUGCACGAAAGCGUGGGGAGCAAACAGGAUUAGGAUACCCUGGUAGUCCACGGCCCUAAACGAUGUCGAACUGGUUNUUGGUACGGCUUGCUGUUCAGUACGAGCAACGCGUGAAGUUGCCGCGUGGUGUAGCGNGAGUUAGAGAGAGAGUUGNGNGNGNGNGNGCGAGNGNGNGAGGAG